This is a non-coding RNA of Trichobilharzia regenti, 43 nucleotides long. The record is from Rfam. NCBI's taxonomy places the organism in Eukaryota, Metazoa, Platyhelminthes, Trematoda, Strigeidida, Schistosomatidae.
AUCCAGCUGACGAGUCCAAUAGGACGAAAUGCGCAUCCUGGAU